This 298-nucleotide unclassified non-coding RNA is filed under the name Hevea brasiliensis (rubber tree). Lineage: Eukaryota; Viridiplantae; Streptophyta; Magnoliopsida; Malpighiales; Euphorbiaceae. The record is from RNAcentral.
GAGAAACAAUGCGUUUUACAAGGUAAUCAAGUUUGUGAGUAUGUAAUAUCUGUUCUUGUAAUUUGUUUCAGUUGAAAUGUACAAUGCUUAUGUGCUUAGAACACGUUAUACAAUGGAUUAACAGUUGCUAUUACUAGCCGGCAUUAAUGGAAAUUUUCUUGGUUAAGCAUUUUUUUAAAUUUGGAUAACUUUAUUUUUGAAGAAGGCUUUAAAUGAGUUGAAGCUAUUUGUUUAUAUAUGCACAUAGUCUUUCAUUUAAUUCUUGUGUUCUUGCAGGUCUUCGAUAUGUCGAGCAAAA